Molecule: non-coding RNA, 728 nt
Organism: Myodes glareolus (Bank vole)
Lineage: Eukaryota; Metazoa; Chordata; Mammalia; Rodentia; Cricetidae
Source: RefSeq, a predicted model, not a curated record
UUUUUGAAAGACAGAGAACAUAAAGUUGGAAGAAGCAAGUGUUGGUGAACCACCAUGAAAAACAGGACCUUGAUCACCAGCUUCCCAGAGAGUACUGCAAGCUUAAUGAAAAGAAGUAGAAACUCUCAGAUUUGAGCCUGUGAACAGCACAGUCCAGAACUCCCUCGGCCUACCUUGUGUCGUACAAUAUAUAUUCCUCUUACCAGCAAGCAUAACAGAGGCCAUGGAAGAGGCUGCAGGACAGUCAGAAAGGUGAUCGUGAACCCCCAGGCAAAGUUCUGGAGCACAGUAAGGAGUGUAGACUCCUGGCUCUUGUCUAUUGUGUAAUGCUUGCUUCACAUGGACUACAGUUGCUGUUUGAGGUUUCCUGCUCUAUUUACUGAGCUUGAAUGAUCUCCAAACCCUUUUUAACGUCUUGUGAUUUACUUGUCAGCUAAUGAGUUGGACACAAUCUGACAUGAGCCCACCUGAUAUUUGCAUAAGCAUCACUACGUGGCCUUCUUGAGAACUGCACUUCAACAUGCCGCUCACUGCACUUCUGCUCAAAUCAGGAUAUAGAUGGAAUGAAGGAAGGAAUUUUUGUCUCUUGUUAACAGUGACUACCAUCGUUCCUGGCACACUGUGUGCACAAAACCUAUAAAUCCAGGACUUUAUUUUAAGCGAUUCUAAAUCUUUCUGUGAAACUCCCUUCCUCCAGUUAACCUUUAAAUAUGAUCCCAUAAAUCCUG